This 1282-nucleotide ribosomal RNA is filed under the name uncultured organism. Its description in RNAcentral is "bacterial SSU rRNA". It matches the Rfam family "Bacterial small subunit ribosomal RNA", at positions 85 to 1362 of the family's 1533-position model. The record is from RNAcentral.
AUGCUGACGACCGGCGCACGGGUGAGUAACGCGUAUGCAUCCUGGCCCUGACAGGAGGAUAGCCCUAAGAAACUGGGAUUAAUACUCCAUGUAUUAUCAAAUAGGCAUCUAUUACGUAAUAAAGCUACGGCGGUCAGGGAUGGGCAUGCGUGCCAUUAGUUAGUUGGUGAGGUAACGGCUCACCAAUGCAUCGAUGGCUAAGGGUUCUGAGAGGAUGAUCCCCCACACUGGUACUGAGACACGGACCAGAACUCCUACGGGGAGGCAGCAGUGACGAAUAUUGGUCCAUGGGCGCAAGCCUGAAACCAGCCAUGCCGCGUGCAGGAUGACUGUUCUAUGAAUUGUAAACUGCUUUUCUGCGGGAAGAAAUGUACCUACGUAGUAGGUAUUUGCCGGUACUGCAGGAAUAAGCCAUACGGCUAACUCCGUGCCAGCAGCCGCGGUAAUACGGAGGAUGCAAGCGUUAUCCGGAUUCAUUGGGUAUACCGGGUGCGCAGGCGGUGUAUUAAGUCAGUGGGUGAAAUGCUGCGGCUCAACCGUAGACUUGCCAUUGAUACUGGUACACUUGAAAGUAGUUGAGGUAGGCGGAAUGUGUAAUGUACCGGUGAAAUGCUUAGAUAUUACACAGAACACCGAUUGCGAAGGCAGCUUACUAAACUAUGAUUGACGCUGAGGCACGAAAGCGUGGGGAGCGAACAGGAUUAGAUACCCUGGUAGUCCACGCUGUAAACUAUGAUCACUGGUUGUUGGCAAUAUACCGUCAGCGAUUGAGCGAAAGCAUUAAGUGAUCCACCUGGGGAGUACGUCGGCAACGAUGAAACUCAAAGGAAUUGACGGGGGCCCGCACAAGCGGAGGAACAUGUGGUUUAAUUCGAUGAUACGCGAGGAACCUUACCUGGGCUUAAAUGUAGAGUGCAUAGAGUGGAAACAUUCUUUUCCUUCGGGACUCUUUACAAGGUGCUGCAUGGUUGUCGUCAGCUCGUGCCGUGAGGUGUCGGGUUAAGUCCCAUAACGAGCGCAACCCUUGUCGUUAGUUGCUAGCAGGUCAAGCUGAGGACUCUAACGAGACUGCCGGUGUAAACCGAGAGGAAGGUGGGGAUGACGUCAAAUCAGCACGGCCCUUAUGUCCAGGGCUACACACGUGUUACAAUGGCCAGUACAAGGAGCAGCCACCUGGCAACAGGGCGCUAAUCUCAAAAGCUGGUCACAGUUCGGAUCGGAGUCUGCAACUCGACUUCGUGAAGGUGGAUUCGCUAGUAAUCGCGCAUCAGCCACGGCGCGG